This 351-nucleotide unclassified non-coding RNA is filed under the name uncultured Trechispora. RNAcentral describes it as "sequence contains ITS1". The stretch from base 1 to 105 matches the Rfam family "5.8S ribosomal RNA", at positions 50 to 154 of the family's 154-position model. Lineage: Eukaryota; Fungi; Basidiomycota; Agaricomycetes; Polyporales; Polyporaceae. The record is from RNAcentral.
UAAAUGCGAUAAGUAAUGUGAAUUGCAGAAUUCAGUGAAUCAUCGAAUCUUUGAACGCACCUUGCGCUCCUUGGUAUUCCGAGGAGCAUGCCUGUUUGAGUGUCUUGAAGUCAUCAACCCCUACCGUUUCGUGCGGCUGUGGGUUGGAGCUGGGGGCAUGCGGCCGCGAGGCCGCUCCCCUCAAAUGCGUCGGUCGGACCUGUGGGUCGGACUCGUCGGGCGUUGUACCAUCCUCGCUCUAAUGAGAAGUUCCCCUUCUGCGUCCCUCCACGACCUGCCGUCGAGUGGCGGUCAAUGCAAGACCUUUUGAAAUCUGACCUCAAAUCAGGUAGGACUACCCGCUGAACUUAA